RNAcentral lists this ribosomal RNA (483 nucleotides) under uncultured bacterium. RNAcentral describes it as "partial 16S ribosomal RNA". It matches the Rfam family "Bacterial small subunit ribosomal RNA", at positions 30 to 507 of the family's 1533-position model. The record is from RNAcentral.
AUUGAACGCUGGCGGCAGGCCUAACACAUGCAAGUCGAGCGGAUGAAGGGAGCUUGCUCCUGGAUUCAGCGGCGGACGGGUGAGUAAUGCCUAGAAAUCUGCCUGGUAGUGGGGAUAACGUCCGGAAACGGGGGCAAAUUACGCAAACGUCCCGUAGGAGCAAGGGGGGGAAGCUCGGGCCCUUCGGUCAUCGAUGGACCUAAGUCGGAUUAGCUAGUUGGUGGGGUAAAGGCCUACCAAGGCGACGAUCCGUAACUGGUCUGAGAGGAUGAUCAGGCACACUGGAACUGAGACACGGUCCAGACUCCUACGGGAGGCAGCAGUGGGGAAUAUUGGACAAUGGGCGAAAGCCUGAUCCAGCCAUGCCGCGUGUGUGAAGAAGGUCUUCGGAUUGUAAAGCACUUUAAGUUGGGAGGAAGGGCAGUAAGUUAAUACCUUGCUGUUUUGACGUUACCAACAGAAUAAGCACCGGCUAACUUCGUG